Molecule: ribosomal RNA, 252 nt
Filed under: uncultured bacterium
Lineage: Bacteria
Description: partial 16S ribosomal RNA
Rfam family: Bacterial small subunit ribosomal RNA
Source: RNAcentral
UACGUAGGUCCCGAGCGUUGCCCGGAUUUAUUGGGCGUAAAGCGAGCGCAGGUGGUUUAUUAAGUCUGGUGUAAAAGGCAGUGGCUCAACCAUUGUAUGCAUUGGAAACUGGUAGACUUGAGUGCAGGAGAGGAGAGUGGAAUUCCAUGUGUAGCGGUGAAAUGCGUAGAUAUAUGGAAGAGCACCAGUGGCGAAAGCGGCUCUCUGGUCUGUAACUGACGCUGAGGUUCGAAAGCGUGGGGAGCAAACAGG